GAUGAACGCUAGCUACAGGCUUAACACAUGCAAGUCGAGGGGCAGCAUGAACUUAGCUUGCUAAGUUUGAUGGCGACCGGCGCACGGGUGAGUAACACGUAUCCAACCUGCCGAUGACUCGGGGAUAGCCUUUCGAAAGAAAGAUUAAUACCCGAUGGCAUAAUUCUUCCGCAUGGUAGAACUAUUAAAGAAUUUCGGUCAUCGAUGGGGAUGCGUUCCAUUAGGUUGUUGGCGGGGUAACGGCCACCAAGCCUUCGAUGGAUAGGGGUUCUGAGAGGAAGGUCCCCCACAUUGGAACUGAGACACGGUCCAAACUCCUACGGGAGGCAGCAGUGAGGAAUAUUGGUCAAUGGGCGAGAGCCUGAACCAGCCAAGUAGCGUGCAGGAUGACGGCCCUAUGGGUUGUAAACUGCUUUUAUAAGGGAAUAAAGUGGGAGUCGUGACUCUUUUUGCAUGUACCUUAUGAAUAAGGACCGGCUAAAUACGUG
This 488-nucleotide ribosomal RNA is filed under the name uncultured bacterium. RNAcentral's name for it is "bacterial SSU rRNA". It matches the Rfam family "Bacterial small subunit ribosomal RNA", at positions 28 to 507 of the family's 1533-position model. The record is from RNAcentral.